This 253-nucleotide ribosomal RNA is filed under the name uncultured bacterium. RNAcentral describes it as "partial 16S ribosomal RNA". It matches the Rfam family "Bacterial small subunit ribosomal RNA", at positions 524 to 776 of the family's 1533-position model. The record is from RNAcentral.
UACAGAGGGGGCAAGCGUUGUCCGGAAUCAUUGGGCGUAAAGCGCGUGUAGGCGGCUCGGUAAGUCUGCUGUGAAAGUCCAGGGCUCAACCCUGGGAUGCCGGUGGAUACUGUCGAGCUCGAGUCCGGAAGAGGCGAGUGGAAUUCCUGGUGUAGCGGUGAAAUGCGCAGAUAUCAGGAGGAACACCAAUGGCGAAGGCAGCUCGCUGGGACGGUACUGACGCUGAGACGCGAAAGCGUGGGGAGCGAACAGG